CAUAACUAGAAACGUGUUCAUAUAUGUAAACAACAUAAACCUUCAUUAAUGUCAAAAUGUUUACAACACAAACCGCAAAAACUGAAGUGAAGUUAACUUUCACAUUUCCGGAUCGUAAGGCGAUUAUCAUUUGAAGGUGUGGUUAAAAUAUUUUGUCAUCCAUAUUUCGUAUUACCAUAGCUGAAGAUGAUUAAGUUGUUGUGUCUACUUGUCACAUUCGGUGUGCUUUUGACAACUUGUUCGGGACAAUGGCCACUUGGUCCAGGAUUUUACAGUAGCAUGAAUCAGAUGACCAGAAAUCUUAACAAUAUGGCCUCUAAUCUGCAAAUAAUGGGAGAAAGAAUGGCCAGGGAGCGGGAUGCUAAGGUGGCCGACGAUAUGCGGAGAGCACAACAAGGAGUGCCUUUCGGUGACGGAGGGACGGUUUUUAUCACAGCCUCUGGAGGUCUAGGCUAUGCAUACAAUUCUCCCGAUGGUUCGUUCACACUGUACUCGUUAGGAAGUGGAAGUCCACCACGCGGCUACAUGUAUCAUGUUGGACCAUCCGGCACAUCUUACAGGAACUGGUGAUUCAUAUCGCCGUGUACAUUGCUUCCAAUCAUUCAGUGAGCCAAUAGAACUCAUUCAAACCAAACUAUACACUUAUGUGAAUACAGGACUAUUCUACAAGAUGCACCUUCUGCAGUUAAAUUGUUGUAUGAUACAAUGGAAAACGAUUACUUCACACUUAACAAUUAUUCUAGCACUAAACUUCUUAUAUAAAGUAAUAUUCUGAAAUUUAAGAAAAUUUUAAAACAAUGUGAUUUAAACUUUUCACCGAUCCAACUUUUAAUUUUAUUCUUUGUGCUUCAAACCAUUCUUAUAAGUCCCGAAAAUGAACAACAAUGUCAAGAAUAUUUAUUCAAUCGAAACUUUUUAUCACUAAAUAAAAUAAUAACAAUAAAUAUAUCGUGUCAUAUAUAAUUUCGGCUGUUAUGUAAUCAUAUUUCACUGACAAAUCAAUGUCUCUGUAUUCUUAUCCUUAUGAAAAUUGGAAGUCGCCCGUUUUAUAAAUGCUUGACUGUUCAUUAUUUUCGUGACUUUUAAAAAAGCACAAGGAAGUAAUAUAAAUUUAAUUCAUACAUGCAUGCUUUGAUUCUCUUCUAGUUUGGAAGUGUAACGUGAAACGUAUUGUUUGACAAAUUUCAAAAAUGUAUUUAGUUAAAAACAAGUAUUGCGUUAGAAGAUUUGUUAAAGUAUGUUGUUGCGUGAAAUGUGGUUUCAAUGAAAUCAAACUUAAGAAGCAGUUACGUUGUAAACACUAAGCAUAUAUUUCUUACGUAUGGAACAUUCUGUUAACAUUUAAAAUUAGAAACAAUAAAAAGCAUAAAUUAUGAAAACUUCCCAUACCAUACCAAUACAAGGCCAAGAUCUCUUAACAAAUACUUUGCACACUAGCGUACGAAGUGUGUUUAUAUAGUUUCGAAAUUUAUAUAGUGCGUUGUUUGCGUCUUUAUAAAGCUGCAAGAGUAGUGACCCAUUUACAAUAAUGGCGACCGUGUACUGGUAAAUCUACAGGGAGACAAAUUCUCUCAGGUGAAGCUGUCGCGGUAAAUCUAAAUUGAUUCUGACUUUGGAUAAAUAAUAAAAGCAUGGCCUAUCUAUCGUACAUAAGGUAGGUAUUUUCAUAACACCAGUGACUUUGUCCUUUCAGUUUUAUAUGACCGUAAGGGAAAUCAAUCUAUGUCGCAAUGAAGAACCUCUAACAUGUUUGACUAAUAUCAGCUUCGCUCUUGCCGAUAUGGAUUUCCUUGACAGCUUUUAUUUCGUAUCCUGUCACCAACAAGCUGUAUAACUAAUAAUACAAUAAAUAAAUGCAGGAGUAUCAUGAAAAAAAAUCCUUUACAAACUUUCAAACAGUUUCUAGUACGUUCAUACAAAAGCAGACCGGAUGAGCCUAUGGUGGUUAAAUUAUACCCUGUCGCCCGAUACCACGACAGCGCGACAAAAUGACAAAUACAGACGCUGUAGACAACACGACAACUAAAGAAGGUGAUGCUCUGUCAUGUUGGUGGAGCGAGGACAAGGUGAAAGCAAUCUUUGGUAAAUAAAAGACGCUAGAACGAUAGUUUCGUAUCCGCCAGACGCAGUACGAAAACAUUUGUCGAAAUAGCGACAUAUAUUUAAGAUCUGUUGAGUUAUAAUAUUGUGACAGUCGUAUUUUCGUCCCACCAAAACCAUAGAUGGAAAACACGACAAAUAUAGAAAGUAUCGUUCUGCCAUACUGUCAUUUUGAAGGGGCGAAGACAAUAAUAAGACAGCUGGACAAAUACAGGGCAACUGAACAUUUUCAUACCCACAAUCACGAAAACUCGACAAUUAUAUCUUCACCAAAUCAACACGACAAUUUGGCAGAAAGAAUACUUGUGGAUAUUUCGUAUUGCCGUCUUGUACAGAACAAUUACUGCCUUUCAGGAAAUGAUACUGCAUUCUGAUUACACUAACCACUUUGAACGGCAAAACCGAUCCCUAAUGAUAAUGAAAUUUUAAUUUUGUUUCUCUUUUUAAUUCAGCUGACUUGCUUUAGGUGUCAGAUAGUUGUACUUUCUGUUUUGCUUUGUUGUUCUUUCAUCUAUGAAUUUAAAUAUAACCAUUUCUCCUAGCAAAAUAUAUUCAGGUCCGAGAAAUUAUAGGUAAUUGUAAUUGAACCGAUACCAAACCCAUCCUUUAGCGAUUAACAAAGCUUCAUGUAAUCAUUUUGUUAUACGCAUAUGGAGAUUCUGAUGUUUUGACAUUACAUGCCUAACAGUGAUGAUCACAGUUUUCAAGCUGUACAAGAUCAAUUAAUUAAUUGUUCAAAAACAAUUUAGUUGAAAUAUUAUUCAUAACUAUAAUCGCUGGCUGCGCAUAAUGUCUACCAGAAGACUCCGGCACAACAACUCGUCACAUACAAAAUGCGUCCAGCUGACGGGGCGAAGACAUUGCAGCAUGACAGGUCGGCUAAUAAAGGGUGCCAGAAUGACAUGUUCUACACGUUGGAACCAGACUCGACAAAUUUAUAUGUCGAGUCGAAGACUCAUCUCGUGUUGGCAGGGUGAAGGGAAAAAAAGAAAAUGCGCUGAUAUUUCGUCCAUACCUCUUUUAUAUAACUAUAACAAAUUUAUAUAAGAUUUUAAAAAACUGUUUUCGUAUUUAUCAAUAUGGUGGCUUUAUACUUAACAAACCUGCUUUAUACAGUUUGUUCCUAGUAGGCAAGGUUUGAGAUCGUCAGAAAAUUCUGAAUGUCGUUAUGUUGUUUCACACAAGUGCAAAACAUUAAAUGACAGAAGUCUCUGCAUUUUGAUUUUAUGUGUUUUUUACGUUUUACGAUUAAUAUUUUUAAGGUUUGUUUAUGUACAACGCCAUUGAACAUGUUAUUGCGUAGAAAUAGGCGUCUAAUCAAAUAAAUCAGUUUCAGAAUGACACAUAUGAACCUCAGAUAUUUAACGUGAUGUUUUUAGAAAAUAUAUUUUGAUAUUAAUUAAGACUGGUAAAAUUUGAGUUUUUUUAUAAGUAAACACACGAACAGCUAUUAUUUUGUAAAUAAGUUACGCCCACUGUAAUGUCAAAAUGUUAACAACAAAACCACAAACAUUCAUGAAAUGGAUUUUCACUUGCUCUAUUACAAGACGAAUCUCAUGCAAAGGCGGACAUAAGAGAAAGAUUUUACACGCACAAAAUAGAUUUCUUCAAAUAUCAGCGAAAAUGGUGAAGAUGAUUAAGUUAUCGUGUCUACUUGUCAUAGUUGGUGUACUUCUGACAACAUGCGUGGGACAAUGGCCGCUUGGUCCAGCAUUUUACAGAGGCAUGGACCAGCUGAACAGAAAUCUUAACGAUAUGACGGUUAGACUAGAUGCCAUGGGAGAAAGAAUAGCGAGAGAAAAUGCGGCUCGACAAGCAAGAGGCAUCUCAGUAUCACAGGGAAGUGUGUAUGUAAGCAACGGCAACGGAAUAUUUAUGACAGGAACUGGUGGUCUUGUGAUGCAGGACGAUAUAAGAAGAGCACGAAACGGUAUUCCUUUCGGGAACGGAGGCUCGGUAUUUAUCACAGCCUCGGGAGGUUUAGGAUAUGCCUACAACUCGUCCGAUGGGUCGUUCACAAUGUACUCUUUAGGAAGUGACAGUCCACCACGUGGCUACAUGUACCACGUGGGACCGCACAGGACGUCUUUCAGAGGCUGGUGACCAACUAAUUCUCAGAAAAUUUAUAAACCAACGGAAGUCAGUUCGCAUCACAAUAUAUGAUAAAAACUGCAAGGAUUUACAUCACCGUGCAUAAUUAUAAACUUGCAAUGUACAAAGCUUCUGCUGACUUCCGUAAUGGUUUCUUCUUCUUAAUUUUCUUCUUUUAUAUAUAAAUUUUCAACACUAGAUAAAAAAGUAGUAUUAUACAUGAGUUUUAAAGAGAUAUAUUGAUAGUGUUAUUUUGUUGUAACAGUCCAUCUUUAUGGGGUCAUUUUGGACAACACAUUUUUUUUUUAUUUUUAUACAGUCAUGGAAUCACGUAAUUUUAGAUACCCUAGUUAGUUUGAAAGCAACGUGCAGGGAUUUUUAGUAAAACGUUUUUGUCAUAAAAUCAAAAGUAACGAAACAUAUCUCAACAUAAACAAAAAAAUCAUUACUUACUACCGCACUAUGAGAUCUAUAGAACAAUGUAUGAAUAAUGUACUAUUUUUGUAAGUUUAACGGAAUUAUAAGAAAAAAAAAACGUUUUUAGGUUAAUUAAAACUGAAAUUUCGGUUUUCUUCGGAAGUUAGUAUACAUACUCUACGUCUAGUUGGCAUCAUCCGUUUUGCUAGUCAGAAAGAAAAAAAAAUGUGUUUCACUUUGGAAAAACACGAAGAAGGAAAGCUAUUCUAAAACAUGUAGUGAAUAUGAAAGAAAUACAAUUUUAAACUUUUAUGUUUGUAAAGUAAUUAACAGAAAGAAGGAGUUGGAUUGCUUGAUGCGCAACAAGUUCGGUUAUAAACAGUGCCACAAAAUAGUUUAUGUCUGUCUUUGCAAAGUCGUGAAUGGCUAGAUUGUAUAACGGCAGAUGAAGGAGUUAGGUGAGACAGAGCUUUAUUUAGGAUGUCCUACGACUACAGGGGUGUCCGUUUUCGUGUACAUGUUGAUAGCAAAUUAUUAAUCUUUAAAAGCAUCUUACGGAAUGACGCUUACAGCAUAAUUGCUUUAUUCGAAAAAUAAAACAAAUGUUUACAUUUUGUCUUAAUUUUAUUAUACUGAACACUUACAGUAGUUAAAGUGAAUUGGCGACAACCCUGGACGAUGACUUUGUAUCUUAAAGCGAUUUAUGCGCCUGCAUAUAAAUAUACCGUUAAAGGGACGUAUUACAUGUACUUUUUCUGCUGACUCUGUUAAACGUAUUUUUCAAUAACCGCAGAAAAUGUUUGAUGGAAAUAUGAAAACUCGUACAAGCUGUGCUAUAUCACUAAUGUAAAGCCAGGUUGGUUGUAAAGGCCGCAGCAAGAUUCAAGUGUAAUCGUUUACGUCCCUGCAAACAUUAUUUAAUGCACAUUCUCAGAAGCACCUCCCGCAUUCCUACCUGAUCGAACAAUUAUAAGAGUAUAUUGCGCUCUAAAUGACCGCCGCGGUCGAGCGACAAAGAUAGCCGCCUUUCAACUACUUAAAUCUAGAAUCACACUGUUCCGGAUAGACUUUAUAUCUUCUACGAAAUAGAACGUAACGAGUCAAAGUACAUGUGAAUUAGGACAAAUGUUUCGUUAAACAGAGAAUGACCUGUCUUGAAAGUUUCUCCUACUUGUUAUGAACAGUUUAGUAUAUUCUUUAUGAUUAACCAAGGCAUAUGUGACAUGAAAAAACUACAACAAAAAUUCACCCGAGGGGAGGUUUCAAAAGACUUUACAAGAACCCUAAAUGAUUAACCUGUCCGUUCUUUUUAGUUGGUAAAAAACGCACAAUCUAUACUUAAUCUAUUUAUUUUUUGUAAAUAAAAUCUAAAACGUAUGCUUCAUAACUGCAACGAUUACAUAUUAGAAAAGUUUUUUAUUAUACAGAGAAAACUUGUAAGCUUGUCUUUAAAAACGGAAUAAAAAUUAGAUUAAGGCUUCAGUCAAAACUAGACUAUUUUUGAUUUGCAACAACUUUUUAUUUAUUAGCCAUACAACUUUGAUGUUCAAAACUUGCAAUCUUCACCAUUUAUUAUGUAAGAGUUGAAAGAAAAACCUAUUCUGCCUCGUUACUGGCCAUGAACUGCACAUACAUUUUCUAACAAGUAAAGUACAUGCUUUCUACAAAACCAUAUUAAAAUUUUGAAAUUGGCAUUUUAUGGUCAGUGAUAUCUCAAGAAGUCAACAACAAACAAUAAAAUUUGGCAAUACAAUAUGUGCGAGACGCACGGCUCAACAUGUGAACUCCUCGACCCUCACAAAUUGACAUUAAUCAACGUGUAAAAAAGCACAUCAAAAUCUUACUGAAUAACAUGAGCUGUGGAAAGACUUCGAAGCUUCGCUUUUCAAAAGCCUUGUCACAAACAAACAAAAAUAGCUGAAGUUUAAAUUUGCUCACAAUAUAGUUGAAGACGAGGUCAUAACUUUGUGUAAGAAUGCAAACUAAUUAUGGAAUCUAUGCACUGCACUAGUAUCAUUACUAUGCAAAAGUGUUAGAUGUUACGAUACAUUCCAGUCAUUGCUUGAAUACAACGACUUAACCAAAUUUUGCUGAGUAAAAAAAGGAGGCUAUCGGGAAAAGGCAAAAUUUAGUUAAUGUAAUCUGUACGUUGAAUGCCAGGUCAUUACAGUGAACAUGUCUGUGAAGUUUUGAUGUUUGCAGAGAUACCAGCUUACAUGCUUCAACUAAACCAAGUAUUGCUAAGUCGAAGAAGCAGAGUAUCUUUGUAAACAAUCAAAACAGAGUUAUUUCGUUCGUUAUUUCGUAAUGUCGCCCCGCCGAAUGUCGCUAUGGCGCCCCGACGUUUGGCGAGGCGACGUUUGGCGGGCGACAUUCGGCGGGGCGACGUUCGGCGGUGUGCCAUAACGACGUCUGUCGUUCUAUCGCUGCGACAGAACGGAAUAACGAAAUGGCAUAAAUCAGACACCAUAAAUCUAUGCAUUGCAUGCCGCAUCAUCCUAUUGAACACGUGUGGGAAGGUAAAACAGUCCUCAUAGGCAACUACUGAUAGACCAGCUUAUAUGCAACAAUUUAGCAAAUCUGGAAGCGUACGCCGACAUGGACGUUGGCGCCGAUCAACGAAUGAAAACAAUAGUAAUAUCUAUUCUUCGAAUAUUCGAACUAAAACAAAUUUCUUUGAAUACAGAUCCAGAUCAAGCUGUUUAAGUUAUUUAUAUUUCUUUAAAUUUGUGAUUUUCAGAUCAUAGAAUUGCUCUAGAUUAUUUGUCGUGAUGACGUCAAUUUUCAAUGAAAAUUUACAAAACCUGGAAAUAAAAUUGAAAAUUGUUCAUUAUGAAAUGGCAAAUAAUUUGGGUGAUCAAACAAAAAUGUAUAUUCUCGUUUGAGCUAUGUAAGUUCAUCAUCGGAAACGCACCAAUGUAAGCAAUGAAGUUAAUUUCAUCUCAAUGUUAUCUAUCUGUUCCCUCUUGUUACUACACCUUUUAAUAUAAAAACUGAUAUCACGAAAAGCCAUUUAUUUUAUCUAACACAUAACUAGAAACGUGUUGAUAUAUGUAAACAACAUAAACCUUCAUAAAUGUCAAAAUGUUUACAGACAAACCGCAAAAACUGAAGUGAAGUCUAUAACUUUCACAUUUCCGGAUCGUACGGCGAUUAUUUGAAGGUGUGGUUAAAAUAUCCAUACUUCGUAUUACCAUAGCUGAAGAUGUUUAAGUUGUUGUGUCUACUUGUCAUAUUCGGUGUGCUUUUUACAACUUGUUCAGGACAAUGGCCACUUGGUCCAGGAUUUUACAGGAGCAUGAAUCAAAUGACCAGAAAUCUUAACAAUAUGGCCUCUGAUCUGCGAAUAAUGGGAGAAAGAAUUGCCAGGGAACGGGAUGCAAAACUGGCCGACGAUAUGCGGAGAGCACAACAAGGCGUGCCUUUUGAAAACGGAGGGACGGUUUUUAUCACAGCCUCUGGAGGUCUAGGAUAUGCAUACAAUUCUUCCGAUGGUUCGUUCACACUGUACUCGUUAGGACAUGGAAGUCCACCACGCGGCUACAUGUAUCAUGUUGGACCAUACGGCACAUCAUACCAGAACUGGUGAUUCAUAUCGCAGUAUACAUUGUUUCCAAUCAUUCUAUGAGCCAAUAGAACUCGUAUUCAGUCAAACUAUACUGUUAUGUGAAUAUUGGACUGUUCUACAAGAUGCUCCUUCUGCAGUUUAAUUGUUUUAUGAUACAAUGGUAAACGAUUACUCACACUAAAUAAAUAUCCUAAAAUCCCGAAAAUAAGACACGGCUUAUUUUAAAUUUUCGUAAGGAUUUGGUGGCUUAUUAUCGAGACCGGCUUAUUUUUGAGUACCGAAAUACUGAAGAUAUGGAUGUAAUAUAUUUUGCGUUUGAGUAAAAACAUCGACGUCGGUAAAUACUUACAAUUUGUUACAAUGUCUUAAUGAAAAUAAUCCGAUUCUUACAGAUAAUUACCCAUAAUAAAGUUUUAUUUGGCCUAACAAACAAAUACACCUAUGAUUUAAUCGGCCAACGGGUAUGAAUAACUUGCACAAUACGUGAUAAACACUGCAUUGUGUUAUAAAGACCGGUCAAGUUUAUUAGUAGAACUGACGUGACAAGAAGUGUUUGAGACAGGAAUUUUAUUGCUUUUAAAGUUUUAAUUUGUCCAGGGUUUUAAAAAGCAACAAAAAAUGCAUUGUUUUAAGUGUUUUUAUUCCAGAGUAUGUUUUAUUACUAUUAUAUGUAGAAAUAAUCUGAUAUGUACACGUUGGUAACUUCUGCUAUCUUAUAUGGUGUCCUAACCAAGUCUAUGUUAUUAUUACUGAUACAAAACAACUGGACGGCUUAUUUUUGAGUGCGGCUUAUUUAUAAGCCCUUUUUGCCUGUAGUGAAAUGGCGGCUUAUUUUCGAGACCGGCUUGUUUUCAAAACCGGCUUAUUUUCGGGAUUUCAGUGCAUGCUAACGCUAAACUCGUUAUAUAAAGUAAUAUUCUGAAAUUUAAGAAAAUUUUAGAAGAAUGUGAUUAAAACUUUUAACCAGUCCAA
Molecule: RNA transcript, 9148 nt
Organism: Mercenaria mercenaria
Lineage: Eukaryota; Metazoa; Mollusca; Bivalvia; Venerida; Veneridae
Exons: 11
Source: RefSeq, a predicted model, not a curated record